GAUGAACGCUGGCGGCGUGCCUAAUACAUGCAAGUCGAGCGAACAGACGAGGAGCUUGCUCCUCCGACGUUAGCGGCGGACGGGUGAGUAACACGUGGAUAACCUACCUAUAAGACUGGGAUAACUUCGGGAAACCGGAGCUAAUACCGGAUAAUAUAUUGAACCGCAUGGUUCAAUAGUGAAAGACGGUUUUGCUGUCACUUAUAGAUGGAUCCGCGCCGCAUUAGCUAGUUGGCAAGGUAACGGCUUACCAAGGCAACGAUGCGUAGCCGACCUGAGAGCGUGGUCGGCUAGACUGGAACUGAGACACGGUCCAGACUCCUACGGUAGGCAGCAGUAGGGAAUCUUCCGCAAGGGGGGAAAGCCUGACGGAGCAACGCCGCGUGAGUGAUGAAGGUCUUCGGAUCGUAAAACGCUGUUAUUAGGGAAGAACAAAUGUGUAAGUAACUAUGCACGUCUUGACGGUACCUAAUCAGAAAGCCACGGCUAACUACGUG
RNAcentral lists this ribosomal RNA (497 nucleotides) under uncultured bacterium. Its description in RNAcentral is "partial 16S ribosomal RNA". It matches the Rfam family "Bacterial small subunit ribosomal RNA", at positions 28 to 507 of the family's 1533-position model. The record is from RNAcentral.